This 73-nucleotide transfer RNA is filed under the name Macaca fascicularis (crab-eating macaque). It matches the Rfam family "tRNA". Rfam says of the family: Transfer RNA (tRNA) molecules are approximately 80 nucleotides in length. Their secondary structure includes four short double-helical elements and three loops (D, anti-codon, and T loops). RNAcentral also lists the same sequence under 1 other name. Lineage: Eukaryota; Metazoa; Chordata; Mammalia; Primates; Cercopithecidae. The record is from Rfam by way of RNAcentral.
GGUUCUAUAGUGAAGUGGUUAUCACAUCUGCUUUACACACAGAAGGUCCUGGGUUCAAGUCGUGGUGGAACCA